This 591-nucleotide ribosomal RNA is filed under the name Brevibacillus parabrevis. RNAcentral's name for it is "bacterial LSU rRNA". It matches the Rfam family "Bacterial large subunit ribosomal RNA", at positions 1 to 582 of the family's 2925-position model. Lineage: Bacteria; Bacillati; Bacillota; Bacilli; Caryophanales; Paenibacillaceae. The record is from RNAcentral.
AUGUGGUUAAGUUACUAAGGGCACACGGUGGAUGCCUUGGCGCUAGGAGCCGAAGAAGGACGCAGCGAACUGCGAUAAGCCUCGGGGAGCGGUAAGCACGCUUUGAUCCGGGGAUCUCCGAAUGGGGUAACCCACCAUCUGUAAUGGGAUGGUAUCCUUCACUGAAUACAUAGGUGAUGAGAAGGCAGACCCGGUGAACUGAAACAUCUAAGUAGCCGGAGGAAGAGAAAACAAUAGUGAUUCCGUCAGUAGUGGCGAGCGAACGCGGAAGAGCCUAAACCGUCGGGUUUACCCGGCGGGGUUGUGGGGCGUCUCACACGGAGUUACAAAAGACUCUUGUAGAUGAACAGUUUGGGAAGACUGACCAAAGAGCGUGACAGUCGCGUAAUCCAAACAAGAGUCUCUCCGAGACCAACCCCGAGUAGCGCGGGACACGUGAAAUCCCGUGUGAAUCUGGCAGGACCAUCUGCUAAGGCUAAAUACUACCUAGCGACCGAUAGUGAACCAGUACCGUGAGGGAAAGGUGAAAAGCACCCCGGGAGGGGAGUGAAAUAGUACCUGAAACCGUGUGCUUACAAAUAGUCGGAGCCC